CCUACGGGAGGCAGCAGUGAGGAAUAUUGGUCAAUGGCCGGGAGGCUGAACCAGCCAAGUCGCGUGAGGGAAGACGGCCCUACGGGUUGUAAACCUCUUUUGUCAGGGAGCAAGGUGCAGGUCGGGACCUGCUGUGAGAGUACCUGAAGAAAAAGCCUCGGCUAACUCCGUGCCAGCAGCCGCGGUAAUACGGAGGAUGCGAGCGUUAUCCGGAUUUAUUGGGUUUAAAGGGUGCGCAGGCGGAGGCACAAGUCAGCGGUAAAAUCGCGGGGCUCAACCCCGCUCCGCCGUUGAAACUGUGGCCCUUGAGUGCGCGAAGGGUAGGCGGAAUGCGUGGUGUAGCGGUGAAAUGCAUAGAUAUCACGCAGAACUCCGAUCGCGAAGGCAGCCUACCGGCGCGCAACUGACGCUCAUGCACGAAAGCGUGGGUAUCGAACAGGAUUAGAUACCCCAGUAGUC
This 459-nucleotide ribosomal RNA is filed under the name uncultured bacterium. Its description in RNAcentral is "partial 16S ribosomal RNA". It matches the Rfam family "Bacterial small subunit ribosomal RNA", at positions 338 to 795 of the family's 1533-position model. The record is from RNAcentral.